This 2925-nucleotide ribosomal RNA is filed under the name Escherichia coli. RNAcentral's name for it is "bacterial LSU rRNA". It matches the Rfam family "Bacterial large subunit ribosomal RNA". Lineage: Bacteria; Pseudomonadati; Pseudomonadota; Gammaproteobacteria; Enterobacterales; Enterobacteriaceae. The record is from RNAcentral.
GGGUUGUGAGGUUAAGCGACUAAGCGUACACGGUGGAUGCCCUGGCAGUCAGAGGCGAUGAAGGACGUGCUAAUCUGCGAUAAGCGUCGGUAAGGUGAUAUGAACCGUUAUAACCGGCGAUUUCCGAAUGGGGAAACCCAGUGUGUUUCGACACACUAUCAUUAACUGAAUCCAUAGGUUAAUGAGGCGAACCGGGGGAACUGAAACAUCUAAGUACCCCGAGGAAAAGAAAUCAACCGAGAUUCCCCCAGUAGCGGCGAGCGAACGGGGAGCAGCCCAGAGCCUGAAUCAGUGUGUGUGUUAGUGGAAGCGUCUGGAAAGGCGCGCGAUACAGGGUGACAGCCCCGUACACAAAAAUGCACAUACUGUGAGCUCGAUGAGUAGGGCGGGACACGUGGUAUCCUGUCUGAAUAUGGGGGGACCAUCCUCCAAGGCUAAAUACUCCUGACUGACCGAUAGUGAACCAGUACCGUGAGGGAAAGGCGAAAAGAACCCCGGCGAGGGGAGUGAAAAAGAACCUGAAACCGUGUACGUACAAGCAGUGGGAGCCUCUUAAUGGGGUGACUGCGUACCUUUUGUAUAAUGGGUCAGCGACUUAUAUUCUGUAGCAAGGUUAACCGAAUAGGGGAGCCGAAGGGAAACCGAGUCUUAACUGGGCGUUAAGUUGCAGGGUAUAGACCCGAAACCCGGUGAUCUAGCCAUGGGCAGGUUGAAGGUUGGGUAACACUAACUGGAGGACCGAACCGACUAAUGUUGAAAAAUUAGCGGAUGACUUGUGGCUGGGGGUGAAAGGCCAAUCAAACCGGGAGAUAGCUGGUUCUCCCCGAAAGCUAUUUAGGUAGCGCCUCGUGAAUUCAUCUCCGGGGGUAGAGCACUGUUUCGGCAAGGGGGUCAUCCCGACUUACCAACCCGAUGCAAACUGCGAAUACCGGAGAAUGUUAUCACGGGAGACACACGGCGGGUGCUAACGUCCGUCGUGAAGAGGGAAACAACCCAGACCGCCAGCUAAGGUCCCAAAGUCAUGGUUAAGUGGGAAACGAUGUGGGAAGGCCCAGACAGCCAGGAUGUUGGCUUAGAAGCAGCCAUCAUUUAAAGAAAGCGUAAUAGCUCACUGGUCGAGUCGGCCUGCGCGGAAGAUGUAACGGGGCUAAACCAUGCACCGAAGCUGCGGCAGCGACACUAUGUGUUGUUGGGUAGGGGAGCGUUCUGUAAGCCUGUGAAGGUGUACUGUGAGGUAUGCUGGAGGUAUCAGAAGUGCGAAUGCUGACAUAAGUAACGAUAAAGCGGGUGAAAAGCCCGCUCGCCGGAAGACCAAGGGUUCCUGUCCAACGUUAAUCGGGGCAGGGUGAGUCGACCCCUAAGGCGAGGCCGAAAGGCGUAGUCGAUGGGAAACAGGUUAAUAUUCCUGUACUUGGUGUUACUGCGAAGGGGGGACGGAGAAGGCUAUGUUGGCCGGGCGACGGUUGUCCCGGUUUAAGCGUGUAGGCUGGUUUUCCAGGCAAAUCCGGAAAAUCAAGGCUGAGGCGUGAUGACGAGGCACUACGGUGCUGAAGCAACAAAUGCCCUGCUUCCAGGAAAAGCCUCUAAGCAUCAGGUAACAUCAAAUCGUACCCCAAACCGACACAGGUGGUCAGGUAGAGAAUACCAAGGCGCUUGAGAGAACUCGGGUGAAGGAACUAGGCAAAAUGGUGCCGUAACUUCGGGAGAAGGCACGCUGAUAUGUAGGUGAAGUCCCUUGCGGAUGGAGCUGAAAUCAGUCGAAGAUACCAGCUGGCUGCAACUGUUUAUUAAAAACACAGCACUGUGCAAACACGAAAGUGGACGUAUACGGUGUGACGCCUGCCCGGUGCCGGAAGGUUAAUUGAUGGGGUUAGCGGUAACGCGAAGCUCUUGAUCGAAGCCCCGGUAAACGGCGGCCGUAACUAUAACGGUCCUAAGGUAGCGAAAUUCCUUGUCGGGUAAGUUCCGACCUGCACGAAUGGCGUAAUGAUGGCCAGGCUGUCUCCACCCGAGACUCAGUGAAAUUGAACUCGCUGUGAAGAUGCAGUGUACCCGCGGCAAGACGGAAAGACCCCGUGAACCUUUACUAUAGCUUGACACUGAACAUUGAGCCUUGAUGUGUAGGAUAGGUGGGAGGCUUUGAAGUGUGGACGCCAGUCUGCAUGGAGCCGGCCUUGAAAUACCACCCUUUAAUGUUUGAUGUUCUAACGUUGGCCCCUGAUCGGGGUUGCGGACAGUGUCUGGUGGGUAGUUUGACUGGGGCGGUCUCCUCCUAAAGAGUAACGGAGGAGCACGAAGGUUGGCUAAUCCUGGUCGGACAUCAGGAGGUUAGUGCAAUGGCAUAAGCCAGCUUGACUGCGAGCGUGACGGCGCGAGCAGGUGCGAAAGCAGGUCAUAGUGAUCCGGUGGUUCUGAAUGGAAGGGCCAUCGCUCAACGGAUAAAAGGUACUCCGGGGAUAACAGGCUGAUACCGCCCAAGAGUUCAUAUCGACGGCGGUGUUUGGCACCUCGAUGUCGGCUCAUCACAUCCUGGGGCUGAAGUAGGUCCCAAGGGUAUGGCUGUUCGCCAUUUAAAGUGGUACGCGAGCUGGGUUUAGAACGUCGUGAGACAGUUCGGUCCCUAUCUGCCGUGGGCGCUGGAGAACUGAGGGGGGCUGCUCCUAGUACGAGAGGACCGGAGUGGACGCAUCACUGGUGUUCGGGUUGUCAUGCCAAUGGCACUGCCCGGUAGCUAAAUGCGGAAGAGAUAAGUGCUGAAAGCAUCUAAGCACGAAACUUGCCCCGAGAUGAGUUCUCCCUGACUCCUUGAGAGUCCUGAAGGAACGUUGAAGACGACGACGUUGAUAGGCCGGGUGUGUAAGCGCAGCGAUGCGUUGAGCUAACCGGUACUAAUGAACCGUGAGGCUUAACCUUACAACGCCGAAG